Molecule: ribosomal RNA, 279 nt
Filed under: uncultured bacterium
Lineage: Bacteria
Description: partial 16S ribosomal RNA
Rfam family: Bacterial small subunit ribosomal RNA
Source: RNAcentral
UGCCAGCCGCCGCGGUAAUACGGAGGGUGCAAGCAUUAAUCGGAUUUAUUGGGCGUAAAGGGCGCGUAGGUGGUUUGAUAAGUUGGAUGUGAAAUUCCAGAGCUCAACCCCGAAACUGCCAUUGAUACUGAUAAACUUGAGUUCAGUUGGAGUAGGCGGAAUGUGUAGUGUAGCGGUGAAAUGCUUAGAUAUUACACAGAACACCGAUAGCGAAGGCAGCUUACUAAACUGAUACUGACGCUGAGGCACGAAAGCGUGGGGAGCGAACAGGAUUAGAUA